AUUGAACGCUGGCGGCAUGCUUUAUACAUGCAAGUCGUGCGGCAGCGCGGGGGCAACUCUGGCGGCGAGCGGCGAACGGGUGAGUAAUACAUAGGAACGUAUCCUGAAAUGGGGGAUAGCUCGGCGAAAGCCGGAUUAAUACCGCAUACGCUCCACGGAGGAAAGCAGGGGAUCGCAAGACCUUGCGUUUCUGGAGCGGCCUAUGUCUGAUUAGCAGUUGGCGGGGUAAUAGCCCACCAAGGCGACGAUCAGUAGCUGGUCUGAGAGGAUGAUCAGCCACACUGGGACUGAGACACGGCCCAGACUCCUACGGGAGGCAGCAGUAGGGAAUUUUGGACAAUGGGGCAACCCUGAUCCAGCCAUGCCGCGUGAGUGAAGAAGGCCUCGG
RNAcentral lists this ribosomal RNA (388 nucleotides) under uncultured bacterium. RNAcentral describes it as "partial 16S ribosomal RNA". It matches the Rfam family "Bacterial small subunit ribosomal RNA", at positions 30 to 420 of the family's 1533-position model. The record is from RNAcentral.